CGUGAGUGAUGAAGGCUUUCGGGUCGUAAAGCUCUGUCAAGUGGGAAGAAACCAUAUGGUGUUAAUAUUACCUUAUGUUGACGGUACCACUGAAGGAAGCACCGGCUAACUCCGUGCCAGCAGCCGCGGUAAUACGGGGGGUGCGAGCGUUAUUCGGAAUUACUGGGCGUAAAGAGCGCGUAGGCGGUCUUUUAAGUCAGGUGUGAAAGCCCGGGGCUCAACCCCGGAAGUGCACUUGAAACUAUGAGACUUGAGUAUGGGAGAGGGAAGUGGAAUUCCUGGUGUAGCGGUGAAAUGCGUAGAUAUCAGGAGGAACAUCGGUGGCGAAGGCGACUUCCUGGACCGAUACUGACGCUGAGGCGCGAAGGCGUGGGGAGCAAACAGGAUUAGAUACCCUGGUAGUCCACGCAGUAAACGGUGAACACUAGGUGUAGCGGGUAUUGACCCCUGCUGUGCCGCAGCAAACGCAUUAA
This 473-nucleotide ribosomal RNA is filed under the name uncultured delta proteobacterium. RNAcentral describes it as "bacterial SSU rRNA". It matches the Rfam family "Bacterial small subunit ribosomal RNA", at positions 400 to 863 of the family's 1533-position model. Lineage: Bacteria; Deltaproteobacteria. The record is from RNAcentral.